Molecule: ribosomal RNA, 253 nt
Filed under: uncultured bacterium
Lineage: Bacteria
Description: partial 16S ribosomal RNA
Rfam family: Bacterial small subunit ribosomal RNA
Source: RNAcentral
UACAGAGGGUGCGAGCGUUAAUCGGAAUUACUGGGCGUAAAGCGUGCGUAGACGGUUAUUUAAGUCGGAUGUGAAAUCCCCGGGCUCAACCUGGGAACUGCCUUUGUGACUGCAAGGCUUGAGUGCGGCAGAGGGGGAUGGAAUUCCGCGUGUAGCAGUGAAAUGCGUAGAUAUGCGGAGGAACACCGAUGGCGAAGGCAAUCCCCUGGGCCUGCACUGACGCUCAUGCACGAAAGCGUGGGGAGCAAACAGG